RNAcentral lists this ribosomal RNA (954 nucleotides) under Rugopharynx australis. RNAcentral describes it as "large subunit ribosomal RNA". Lineage: Eukaryota; Metazoa; Nematoda; Chromadorea; Rhabditida; Strongylidae. The record is from RNAcentral.
AAUUUUUAUAAUUAUUGGUAUUGCAUAUCAUUUAAAGAAAAUUUUAUUGUAAUAAAAAAUAGAAUUAAAAGGUAGAAAAAUUUAUUAUUUUUAUUGUUUCAUAAUAAAAAUUAUAAUUUUUAGGUUUGAUAAGUCGACUUUUAGGAUAUCUGUUUUUUUUAGUUGGUUAGAAAUUUAUUAUUUUAAUUAAUUUUUUUAUAAAAAGUAAGAGUUGAAGUAUCUUUUAUGUUAGUUUUAUAACUGUUUAUAAAUGUAUAAAUUUUUAGUUUAAUUUAUUAAAAGUAAUAAGUUUUUAUUACAUUUUUUGUUUUAAAAUUAGUAGUAUUUUUAAAAUUGAAUUUUUAUUAUUAAAUUAAUUAAAAAACUCAAAAGCUGAUCAAAUGUUUUUUAAAGACUUAGACUUUUAAAUAAAGUUUGCUUCUGCCCAGUGAUUAAUAUUAAAUGGCAGUCUUAGCGUGAGGACAUUAAGGUAGCAAAAUAAUUUGUGCUUUUAUUGAGUUCCAGUAUGAAUGAAGUUAUUGGUUGGUUAAUUUUUUAAUUUUUAAAUGAACUUUUAAUUAACUAUAAAAAAUUGUUGUUAUAAUAGUACAAAGAUAAGUCUUCGGAAAUUCUUUUUUGAGGUAAAUAUUUGUUUAUCUUAAAAAUUUUCUAGGGCAGAAUUUUAUAUAAUUAUAAAUAUCUAUUAAUAAUUUUAAGAAUUACUCCGGAGUUAACAGAAAAUCAUAUCUAAUCUAGUUCUUAUAGUAAGAUAAGUUUUACAUCGAUGUUGUAUUUAAGUUUAUUAAAAAAGGAGAAGAUUUAAUUUUUAAGACUGUUCUUCUUUUAAUUAAUUUAACGUGAUAUUAGUUUAAUUCAUUGCGAGAUAGAAUUGUUUAUCUUGUUUAUUAUUUUUGUUAAGUUUUAAUAGUACGAAAGGAAAAUUAAAAAAAGUUUUAAACUUUAAAAGUGUUAGCU